RNAcentral lists this ribosomal RNA (402 nucleotides) under uncultured bacterium. Its description in RNAcentral is "bacterial SSU rRNA". It matches the Rfam family "Bacterial small subunit ribosomal RNA", at positions 28 to 431 of the family's 1533-position model. The record is from RNAcentral.
GACGAACGCUGGCGGCGUGCUUAACACAUGCAAGUCGAGCGGUAAGGCCCUUUCGGGGGUACACGAGCGGCGAACGGGUGAGUAACACGUGGGUGACCUGCCCUCAGCUCUGGGAUAAGCCUGGGAAACCGGGUCUAAUACCGGAUAUGACUCCAUGACGCAUGUUGUGGGGUGGAAAGCCUUGUGCGGCUGAGGAUGGGCCCGCGGCCUAUCAGCUUGUUGGUGGGGUGAUGGCCUACCAAGGCGACGACGGGUAGCCGGCCUGAGAGGGCGACCGGCCACACUGGGACUGAGACACGGCCCAGACUCCUACGGGAGGCAGCAGUGGGGAAUCUUGCGCAAUGGGCGAAAGCCUGACGCAGCGACGCCGCGUGAGGGAUGACGGCCUGCGGGUUGUAAAGC